This 2190-nucleotide long non-coding RNA is filed under the name Homo sapiens (human). RNAcentral describes it as "HSALNT0198762". Lineage: Eukaryota; Metazoa; Chordata; Mammalia; Primates; Hominidae. The record is from RNAcentral.
CACACACACACACACACACACACACACACACACCCCGCCCUCUCUUCUGCCUUGCAGUCAAAUAUGUGAAUCCUUGGAUGACACAGAAAGGAUUUAUUUAACAGGAGACUGAACAUUUUGAACAUGGAAAUGUGAAUAUCUGUGAACACUGAAUAGGCUAGAUUAGUAAGAGCAGAGACUGGAAGAAAGGCCAGGUGGGUGUCUUCUCCUGUCUUUUCCUUCUAAUUAGCAUUCAGUCAGACUGUAUAGAGGACCUGCUACAUCCUGGGGAUGAUUCACACAUUGUCCCUGCCUCCCAGUUACUCCUCCUCUGAUGAGGGUUUGCAAACGAACUUUCUUCCAUCAUUUAUCCCCCAAAACAUGUAUCAAUUGAUAUCGUUACUUGCCAAACAUAAAAUAACAUAAGGACAUGAAUUCUAGAGGAAUUUUGUUUUGAGAAAUGAAAAUAUAGAUUUCAGAGGCCACUGGGAAAGGAAGAUUUACAGGACCAAAUAACUGACAAAAAUGUUAACUUGCCAGAGAAGAAAGACUCAAAAAUGUUCCAUUGACAUAAACCUAGAUAACUAGGAGAAUGAGAGUGCCUGUGUAGGGGAGUGAAAAUAAUUUUCUCCUCCACCCUUCAUAGGUUUCUAGCUAGGUCUCCCUGUUAGGGGCGUUCAAACCAGAGCGACUCCAUCUUCAGUGAGGGCUAGGAAAAAUGAGGCUGGGACCUGCUGGGCUGCAUUCCCAGAAAGUUAGGUAUUCUUAGCCUCUAGGUGUUUACCGUUAAGGGAACAGGUUGAUAAUGUUUACUAAACAGACCCAGACUUGGGAGUGUCCUGAUAUCCCAGUAUCUUGAGAACAGAAGCAUUCUUAAUUUUGCUUUAAAGAUAACAUCAAUUCUUGCAAAAUAAAGUAAUUAAGAAAAUUAACCCUUUAUCAUAAACCCUUGUAGCAGAGUACAUCUCCCCACAAUCUUUCUUUUUAUCCCAUAUGUAAACAGGAUUUAUCCUGUAUAUACCUAGGGAGGACGUGUUUCCCCUCCUACUUUCGAGAACGCCCUGCUCUGUCUAUGAGUAGCUAUUCUUUCACCACUUUACUUCCUUAAUAAACUUACUUUUGCUUUGCACUGUGGACUUGCCCUGAAUUCUUUCUUGUGGGAGAUCGAAGAACUCUCUCUUGGUGUCCGGAUCGGGACUCCUUUCCGGUAACAUCACUAUGUUGCCCAGGCUGGUCUUGAACUCCUGGCCUCAAACCAUCCUAUAGAUUCGACCUCCGAAAGUGCUGGGGUUACAGGCAUAGCCACUGUGCCCAGCUGGAACAAUCUUUAUGAAGGUGAAUUAAAGCUGUGAGGCAUGAGACCAGAAAAGAUGCACCAGGAGUAAUGGAUUUUGGUGGAGAAUGAGCCACAGAAACGCGAUCAUGAGGCAAAUGGUGGGGCCUAACCCUGCCUUCUCAGUCCUCGGGAUGGGAGACCGGGCUAGAGAAGAGAAGGCUGGUGUGAAAACGCCGGGAGGCCCUCAUCGAGCCUCAUUCUCAGCCACAUCGUAAGGAUUUAGAGGCCCUAAGCACUGACGACGCUGUGGUGCCACAAAAAUAGACAAGCAGGGCAUGUGCGCUGAAGCUGGAAGAGGCUUCUUCCAUAUUUUCAUUGCAAAAUCAGAACUUUGAUAACCCUGCAUUUUACCGAGAUGUCAAAGCAGGAAGUGCUUGGCUGGAACAUCUGCCGACAGCCUCAUCUCUUUCUGCAAGAUCAUGAUGUUCUGCAUGCUCCUGUGGCCUCUUAUUUCACGUUGCUCUCCCUGCAAAUUUUGAAACAACUUUAAAGAUGAAUAAAAAGCAGCUCAGCAAGUGAAUCCCAGAUCCCGGGCCAAACUCCGACGCCCACGAGCUCGCUCAGAAUUGGCUCAGGCUGCAAUCACUUCUCUUCUCCUACCUCCACACCAUUCCCUGAUGGUGGACAGCUUCUCCUUUGAGAACCACACCUGCCUUUUCAGACAAAAGGAGACACCACCCACCCUCCUGCUGAGGGCUGCUCCCCUGGGGCCUUCUCAGCACACCUCUCUCUCUCUAGGUCAAAAAACAAAUUUCACAUGCUGAAUUUUUACCUUUUUUAAAGUGACUCCGAAUUUUGGCACCAGCAAUUAAUUCAACACUUGAAUAAGAUUUGAAAACCUCACAACAAAUCACAAAUAUAUUAUGGGUCCUGUU